This 84-nucleotide transfer RNA is filed under the name Armatimonadota bacterium. Its description in RNAcentral is "Armatimonadetes bacterium tRNA-Leu". It matches the Rfam family "tRNA". Rfam says of the family: Transfer RNA (tRNA) molecules are approximately 80 nucleotides in length. The record is from RNAcentral. Lineage: Bacteria; Bacillati; Armatimonadota.
GCCGGUGUGGCGGAAUGGCAGACGCGCCUGACUCAAAAUCAGGUGGGCCUUAGGCCCGUGGGGGUUCAACUCCCUCCACCGGCA